This is a non-coding RNA of Parasteatoda tepidariorum (common house spider), 816 nucleotides long. The record is from RefSeq and is a predicted model, not a curated record. Lineage: Eukaryota; Metazoa; Arthropoda; Arachnida; Araneae; Theridiidae.
AGUUCCUCCUCCGGGUUUUUUUUUCCUAUAAACUUUAGUCCUUUUCAAGUUCAGUUUUUAAAAUUUUGUCAAAUUUUAGACAAGGGUUAGUGUCGAGUUGAAAGUGAAUGUAGUUGGGUGGUGGCGUGAACUUAUGAAGAGGUCGUUGUGCUCUGUACUUAUCCUACUGGAUUUCACUUAGUUUUUAAAAUGUUUUACGCGUGGAGCAUGUGUGUUAGAUUGUUUAUAGGAGGAGUUAUUCAGAAAUAAUGUGUAAAAUUGUUUAUUGGUGAUUUAUCAAGGAAAAAUUGUGCUCUGCUAAAUUUUCGGCAUCAUGUUGAUGGUGAGCAAAACAAAUCCAAUGAAACUACACAGUAUUUUUCUUCGAAUACUUCGAAAAAGAAAACUUACAUUGUGGAACUUAAUGUCUUCCAACGACUAAACGUUAUUUUUUCAAAAGAUUUGGGAAAAGAACUCUGAGAAAUAUGAUUAAUAAAUCAGAAACAAUGAAAUUACUUAAGAAGAGGGAGAAAAUAAGAUAUGCUGUUCGCAUUAGUAAAGGAUCGGAGCAUAAAUUUUCACGCUACUAAUCUAAACAUGAGCAGAGAAAAUUAUGCUUUUCUUUUGAUAAGGAAAUAUUGCAGCACAUGACACAUUUGCAUAAAGUAAAUACAUGAAAUGCUGCUUGAAAUAUUUAUGGUAUUGUGUAACAAAAGAUCCAAGAAGUUACAAAUUAUCUCAAGAAAUAUGACAGCUUCUUCAAUUCUCAAGAAAUAUGACAAUUCAUUCCUACAUAUUUUGUCUAAAUAAAUAAUAAACGCUAUUAUUUAAACAUGA